UGCCCCUUAAUCGGAAGCGUAUUCGAGCGCUGGAGAGAGUGUGACCAUGGCCAGGUCCGGGCGCCCAGCUUGCUGGUGACCGUCUGUUAAACAAUGACAGACUACGACCUGAGGGGCUUCUCAGUUCACACGUAUUUCCUCACUGUUUCUCGGUUCCUUAUUGUACCUGUACUGAUGUGGUUAAUUAGGGACUGCGCUGGCUUCUGGACUCCGUGCAAGCAGGGCCUAUUUUGUCAUUCUCUGGCACAGCUCAGCGUGCUCAUUCCUCCUGGACACACUUCUCUGCUCUGCCCGGAGGAUGGCGAGGAAGUGACAUCUCCAUGGAAACAGGUGUUGAUCCCACAGUUGCUUAGCGAUGUGCUGGUGUGCUGCAGGAUGAUAUAUUUUGUCCCAGUUAAAAAUAGUGCUUCGCACAAGAGCUGAAAACAGGCUUCUUCACUAAACGCUUCCUCAAGCUGGUUCUCAGCCUCCUCCUGAAUCAUUACCCUCGAGCCAGUUCGCUGAGAUCUCAGGGAGAUACAUGCCAAGAAACGCCACGCUUCCUCCGGGGAAAGUGCCAGCGGGUGCCCACCCCACUGCGGUCGAACCAGCCCAAACCAGGUCUACGAAGUCAGGCAGGGCUGUCCAUUCCAGGACCACCUCCUGGUCUUCCUCAGGCGAAGAGGAAGGACCGCCCCUUCUGACCUGGUUGAAGGAACCUGCAGUCACUCCCGGGUCUCUAUUUUACCACAGCCUGUUAGCAGCCCAGAAUAGCUCCCGAGCCUUCGAUUCCGUGCUCCGGGCAGAGUCUUGAACCGUCAGGAAAUGGUUUUUGCGGUGUGCCGAGGAGGCAGAGGGGGAGGCAGGGAUGGAAAAUCCAAACAUCCCUCCCGAGUCACGGCGAAGAGGCAACCCAUGUUUUCAAGUCGGUCUGGAUCUCAAACAUUGAGUGCCACUUGCGCGAUGGGUUCCUGCCAUUCUUCCCUCUGGGAAUUAGAAGAAGUCGUGACAGCCUGUGGAACCAUCCAGCUGAGUAAGGGGAACAGGUCCCUGAGCUGGCGGGAACUGUUACUGAGGCCUCGCCCACACUGAAGAUCAUAAUGCCAUGAAGAAAGUUCUGGCAACUCUGGAAACCUAAGGGAAAGCAUGCCUGUCUCCCCCACCCCUGCCAGUAUUCAGUCACAUAUGUGCUCUUCGUCUUCUGUAUAACUUCCAUCUUGGCACGUUUGAGAGAGAAGUUUGCUGUGUUUGUCUGCCCAAUGGGCUGCCUUCGUUAUAGAUUGUAAAUAACUUCUUUCCAGAAUUUCAAGACUUUCUUUUUUUCUUUAGGAUGACAUUUAAUAUUUUCCAUGCAGUUUGCCUUUCUGGGAGAAUGUUCUCAGGGAUGAGUAACUUUGGGUUGUCUUCCUUUCAACUGCUUUCCCUAUUUUAAAAGUCUCAUUCUUAUAUAUAUUUUUUCAAAGCAAUACGUUUGAUUUGAGGUUUUAGGCUGAAACCCAGCUUUUUCGUACAAAUUCCUGCCCAUGUGCCAUUGUUUUAUCUUCUAAACGAGCUGACAGAAUGAAGCCUGCUGGUUAGCUGAGACCAUUUCGGGUACUGCCUCUCGAAGUAAGGUCUGUGCGACAUCCGUGUCCACAAUCAGUGUGCUUCCUGGAAGUGCAGUCUGCUGGGGCUAGUUGCAAAUAUAUUGAAUGAAAAUUUCAGUGGGGCAGGAGGAGGCCUUGGAAUCUGAAUUUUUCACAAGGGCAGCAGGUCGUACCUGUCACUGUGGAGUUUGAGAACCACCAUUCCAGCUGAAGGAGCAGGAGUGACCUUUACCGGAUGUCCUUCCCGCCUGCUUUUCUCCACCCAUCUCCUCAAGCUGGGCUUGGGUCUUCUUGCUGGCCCUGGUAGCUUUCAGUAACUUUCAUACGGUUUGGAAUCUUGACGGCCAGGCCGCAGGCAAGCUGCACUAUCAAAGCUGGGCCCCAUGGAGAUGAAUUUGACCAGAGUACCUAACGUGGGGCUGGUUAGGCAGAAGGGGGCGCUUGGGAGGUGAAUGCUUCCACCAGUUUCCCCCACAGAGGCAACAUUAAG
This is a long non-coding RNA of Herpailurus yagouaroundi (jaguarundi), 2055 nucleotides long. RefSeq lists it as uncharacterized. The record is from RefSeq and is a predicted model, not a curated record. NCBI's taxonomy places the organism in Eukaryota, Metazoa, Chordata, Mammalia, Carnivora, Felidae. The transcript has 4 exons.